GUUAAGUCAGGCACGAGCGAGACCCACGCCAACAGUUGCCAGCUCGGUCCUCCGGGGAUGGUGGGGACACUGUUGGGACCGCCUCUGCUAAAGAGGAGGAAGGAAUGGGCAACGGUAGGUCAGCAUGCCCCGAAUUAUCUGGGCUACACGCGGGCUACAAUGGGUGGGACAAUGGGUAUCGACACCGAAAGGUGAAGGCAAUCUCCUAAACCCAUCCGUAGUUCGAAUUGUGGGCUGCAACUCGCCCACAUGAAGCUGGAAUCUGUAGUAAUCGUGUCUCAAAUGGCACGGUGAAUAUGUCCCUGCUCCUU
RNAcentral lists this ribosomal RNA (311 nucleotides) under uncultured Methanomicrobiales archaeon. RNAcentral describes it as "bacterial SSU rRNA". It matches the Rfam family "Archaeal small subunit ribosomal RNA", at positions 1028 to 1338 of the family's 1478-position model. Lineage: Archaea; Methanobacteriati; Methanobacteriota; Methanomicrobia; Methanomicrobiales. The record is from RNAcentral.